GGCCAAGCUACUAAGGGCACACGGUGGAUGCCUAGGCGCCAAGGGCCGAUGAAGGGCGUGGCUGGCUGCGAUAAGCCCCGGGGAGCCGCCAGCAGGCUGUGAUCCGGGGAUUCCCGAAUGGGGAAACCCACCUGGGGGAAUGCCCAGGUAUCGUUGGCUGAAUCCAUAGGCCGACGAAGGGCACCGGCCGAACUGAAACAUCUUAGUAGGCCGAGGAAAAGAAAUCAACCGAGAUUCCCCGAGUAGUGGCGAGCGAAAGGGGAAGAGCCCAAACCCAUGGUGUGUUAGAGGCCGCAGCCGUUGCACCAUGGGGGUUGUAGGCCAGCAGCAGGAGCCGCUGCGGAGGCUCCAGGAAGUUAUAAAUCUUCUCCUUAGCGGAAGCGUCCUGGAACGGCGCGCCAAAGAGGGUGAAAGCCCCGUACGCGAAAAGGAGAAGACUUCCGGGCUGCUGAGCCUGAGUACCCCGGGACACGUGGAACCCUGGGGGAAGCAGGGGGGACCACCCUCCAAGGCUAAAUACCCUUGGCGACCGAUAGUGCACAAGUACCGUGAGGGAAAGGUGAAAAGAACCCCGGUGAGGGGAGUGAAAUAGAACCUGAAACCGUGUGCCUACAAGCAGUCGGAGGGCUAUGGCGGGGAAACCCGCAAGGCCUGACGGCGUGCCUCUUGGAGUAUGAGCCGGGGAGUUACUCUCGGUGGCGAGGUUAAGGCAGUUACAGCCGGAGCCGUAGCGAAAGCGAGUCUUAAAAGGGCGCUUAGUCGCCGGGAGUAGACCCGAAACCGGGUGAGCUACCCAUGGCCAGGGUGAAGCGGGGGUAAAACCCCGUGGAGGCCCGAACGGGUUGGUGAUGCAAAACCAUCCGAUGAGCUGUGGGUAGGGGUGAUAUGCCAACCGAACCCGGAGAUAGCUGGUUCUCCCCGAAAUAGCUUUAGGGCUAGCGUCCCGCGUUGAGUGCCGGAGGUAGAGCACUGGAUGGGCUAGGGGGCGUUGAGCUUACCAAACCCAACCAAACUCCGAAUGCCGGCACUUGAAAGCGGGGCAGUCGGACUACGAGAGAUAACUUCCGUAGUCGAGAGGGGAACAACCCAGACCGCCGGCUAAGGUCCCCAAGUCCAGGCUAAGUGGUGAAGGAGGUGGGACCGCCCAGACAGCCAGGAGGUUGGCUUAGAAGCAGCCAUCCUUUAAAGAGUGCGUAACAGCUCACUGGUUUAGCGGUCCUGCGCCGAAAAUGUAACGGGGCUUAAGCCUGGCACCGAAGCCGCGGGGCGCUACUAAGGGUAGCGCCGGUAGGGGAGCGUUCCCUGCGCGUUGAAGCCCUACCGAAAGGAGGGGUGGAGUGCAGGGAAGUGAGAAUCCCGGCAUGAGUAGCGGUAAGGGGUGUGAAAACCACCCCCGCCGUAAGCCUAAGGUUUCCUUCCCAAUGUCAAUCAGGGAAGGGUUAGGCGGGAGCUAAGGCGAGGCCGAAAGGCGUAGCUGAUGCACAGCCGGUCAACAUUCCGGCCCCACCUGGGGGGAGCGAUGGGGGGACGCAGGAGGGUAGGCCAGCCGGUGAUUGGUAGCGCCGGUUCCAAGCCAGUAGGGCGAUGAAGGAGGGAGGAAAAUCCCCCUCCAGAGCCCGAGAGGUGAUGGCGUAAGUGGCUGAGCCCACACUGCCAAGAAAAGCCUCUAAGCGUUGAACCCCAGGUGCCCGUACCGCAAACCGCCACUGGUAGGCUGGGUGAACAUCCCAAGGCGCUCGGGAGAACCCUCGUCAAGGAACUCGGCAAAUUGGCUCCGUAACUUCGGGAGAAGGAGUGCCCCACGUAGGGUGUAGGAGCUCGCCUCCGAAGCCCGAAGGGGUCGCAGUGAAUUGGCCCUGCCGACUGGUUAACAAAACCACAGGUCUCUGCUAACUCGAAAGAGGAAGUAUAGGGGCCGACGCCUGCCCAGUGCCGGAAGGUUAAGGGGAAGGGUUAGCCGGCUUCGGCCGGCGAAGCUCUGAACUGAAGCCCCGGUGAACGGCGGCCGUAACUAUAACUCGGACCGUUGUAGUUACGUAAAUAAACCCGGCUAUAUGCUGGAAAGUCCGUCCCCUAAAAGGGGUGUAGUAUCCGGCGGUACUUGGUGACAAGCAGUCACUAAGUGACAAUCCGCCCGGUGCGGGCAACCAGCAGGAAAGGCCCCCUGGAGGAAAAUAUGCCACUGGAUGUAGAACAAAUCCCUCCCUAUAUAGGCUAUUACCUGGCAGGAUUUGCCGAUGGGGAAGGCAGUUUCAACGUAUCUUUCCGGCGUCGCCCUGAUUAUAAAAUGCCCUGGAAAAUCUCCCUGUGCUUCAAUGUGUCUAACCGGGAUAAAGUCAUCCUGAACCUCUUCAAAAAGUACAUAAAGUGCGGAACCCUUAGGCAAAGGAAAGACGGGGUUUGGUACUACGAGGUCAAUAGCUUAAAGGCCAUAGUGGAGAAUGUAAUCCCGUUCUUUGAGCGGUUUUGCUUCCUAUCAGCCAGCAAGAAGGAUAGCUUCGCUAAGUUUAAGAAGAUAGCGGAAAUAAUUCAAGAGGGUCGCCAUACUACAGAAGAAGGUAUCCAGGAAAUCCUUUGCCUAAGGAAAGACAUGAACAGGGGCGGCGCAGGAAAACGUAAGUAUAGCGACGAAGAAAUCUUAAAAGAAUUCCUCCGGGGGGAAUCCUCAGAGACCAUACGCCGGGCAUCCAUGGAGCAAUAAAAAGGCGCCGCCAGCUCCAGGGGAUGAAGAUAUGGUCCGGUCUCCGUGGCGACACGGAGGGCCUGGAAGCUUCCCAGGCCGCACCAACUAAGGCGCAAAGGCCCGUAGUUGGUGUAACAUAGACAAACGGUCCUAAGGUGGCAAACGCUGCCUGCCCCGACGGUAACGUCGGGGGCAAUACCUGGCUAUAUGCGGGAACACCCUUAGAGCCCGCCCUACCAGGGAAGAGCACACCUUCCCGGUAAAAAUGGGCGGGAUUGGGCAACCCGCAGGAAACCCGUUAAGGGGAUCCUCAGAGACUAUACGCCAGGCGUCCAACCGAAGCGGAGGAGGCCAGAAUGGACCUAAGCCCCGAUUGGGUAGUUGGGUUCGUAGACGGGGAAGGAUGCUUCUACGUAGGCAUCAACCCCCACCCCAAGAUGACUUUAGGAUACCAAGUGUUGCCCGAGUUCCGUGUGGUUCAACACGAACGCGACAUCCAAGUCCUCUAUGCCCUGAAGCGGUUCUUCCGAUGCGGUGUCGUACGCCGCAACGGCGAGAACCGUUACGAGUUGAGGAUUCGCAAGCUAUCUUGCUUGCAAAAGGUUGUGGAGUUCUUUGAGCGCCACCCUCUAAAGACCAAGAAGAACGUGGAUUUUAAGAAGUUUGCCCGGAUAGUGAAAUGGGUAAGCGAAGGCAGGCACCUUAAACCUGAGGGGCUAAUAGAGAUUGUGGAGGUGGCGCUCUCAAUGGACCGCACGAACAAGGUCAAGACCAAGAAGAUUCUGGCCGACCUCCAGCAGAGGUAUGGACGAAGAGAUAGUCCACCCCAGGCAGAAAUGUCUGGAGUAAGGUGAGCGAAAUUCCUUGACGGGUAAGUUCCGUCCCGCACGAAAGGCGUAACGAGUGGGGCACUGUCUCGACGAGGGACCCGGCGAAAUUGAACUGGCCGUGAAGAUGCGGCCUACCCGCAGCAGGACAAAAAGACCCCGUGGAGCUUUACUGCAACUUGGCAUUGAGUUAGGGCUUAGCCUGUGUAGGAUAGGUGGGAGGCUGAGAAGUCUGGGCGCCAGCCUGGAUGGAGCCACCCUUGAAAUACCACCCUGGUUAAGUCUUGACCCUAACCCCUACCCGUGAAACCGGGAGGGGGACAGUGCCAGGUGGGCAGUUUGGCUGGGGCGGCCGCCUCCUAAAAGGUAACGGAGGCGCCCAAAGGUCCCCUCAGGCGGAAUGGAAACCCGCCGUUGAGUGCAAAGGCAUAAGGGGGCUUGACUGCGAGGCUUACAAGCCGAGCAGGGGCGAAAGCCGGGCUUAGUGAUCCCACGGUACCGAGUGGAAGGGCCGUGGCUUAACGGAUAAAAGCUACCCCGGGGAUAACAGGCUAGUCUGGCCCAAGAGUUCACAUCGACGGCCAGGCUCGGCACCUCGAUGUCGGCUCGUCCCAUCCUGGGGCUGGAGCAGGUCCCAAGGGUUGGGCUGUUCGCCCAUUAAAGGGGCACGUGAGCUGGGUUCAGACCGUCUGGGAAGGCGGCCCCGAAAGGGUAACCUUCGGGGAAAAACCGGCUCAUAACGGGGAAGCCCUCCAGGUCUACCGACCGGAUGCUGAGGGUAACCCCGUGGGAAGGCGGAAGCUAUGGAUGACACUAUACGCGCCUGUAGCGCGUAAGGUGGAGUCCUACCAGGCCCUAAACUACUCUAAGAAGUGCCGUUAUAGAGCAGAGGAUGUGAGGCGCUUCCUGAGUAGCAAGGGCUGGCUUCUGCCCCCGUAACGACUGAGGCCUGCGGGCCGAGGCUCGGGUUCAAAAGCCAACUUAUGACCCGGGCAAGACGCCGGCAUCCCCGAAAGGGGAUGGUGGUAUAGUCUACCCCUCAGGGAAACCUGAGGAAAUGGUGCGUGAGACAGGUCGGUCUCUAUCCGCUGCGGGCGCAGGGGGCUUGAGGGGAGCUGCCCCUAGUACGAGAGGACCGGGGUGGACGGACCUCUGGUGUACCAGUUGUUCCGCCAGGAGCACCGCUGGGUAGCCAUGUCCGGCAGGGAUAACCGCUGAAAGCAUCUAAGCGGGAAGCCCGCCCCAAGAUGAGGCCCCCCACCGGCUUAGCCGGGUAAGGCCCCUGGGAGACUACCAGGUUGAUAGGCCGCAGGUGGAAGCCCGGCAACGGGUGAAGCCAAGCGGUACUAAUGGCCGAGGGCUUGUCCCUCUUU
RNAcentral lists this ribosomal RNA (4883 nucleotides) under Anaerolineae bacterium. RNAcentral's name for it is "23S ribosomal RNA". It matches the Rfam family "Bacterial large subunit ribosomal RNA". The record is from RNAcentral. Lineage: Bacteria; Bacillati; Chloroflexota; Anaerolineae.